RNAcentral lists this ribosomal RNA (484 nucleotides) under uncultured bacterium. RNAcentral describes it as "partial 16S ribosomal RNA". It matches the Rfam family "Bacterial small subunit ribosomal RNA", at positions 28 to 507 of the family's 1533-position model. The record is from RNAcentral.
AUUGAACGCUGGCGGCAUGCUUUACACAUGCCAGUCGAACGGCAGCGCGGGCUUCGGCCUGGCGGCGAGUGGCGAACGGGUGAGUAAUGCAUCGGAACGUGCCCAGUAGUGGGGGAUAGCCCGGCGAAAGCCGGCUUAAUACCGCAUACGACCUGAGGGUGAAAGCGGGGGACCGAAAGGCCUCGCGCUAUUGGAGCGGCCGAUGUCGGAUUAGCUAGUUGGUGGGGUAAAGGCUUACCAAGGCGACGAUCCGUAGCUGGUCUGAGAGGACGACCAGCCACACUGGGACUGAGACACGGCCCAGACUCCUACGGGAGGCAGCAGUGGGGAAUUUUGGACAAUGGGGGCAACCCUGAUCCAGCCAUGCCGCGUGCGGGAAGAAGGCCUUCGGGUUGUAAACCGCUUUUGUUCGGGAAGAAAUCCUCUGGGCUAAUACCCCGGGGGGAUGACGGUACCGGAAGAAUAAGCACCGGCUAACUACGUG